Long non-coding RNA from Carassius carassius (crucian carp), 1039 nucleotides. RefSeq lists it as uncharacterized. The record is from RefSeq and is a predicted model, not a curated record. The transcript is spliced from 4 exons. NCBI's taxonomy places the organism in Eukaryota, Metazoa, Chordata, Actinopteri, Cypriniformes, Cyprinidae.
AUUUGAUGUUACUUUUAUGUUUUAGCAUUAUGGAUUUUCUUUUCAAGUCUUGUUUUGUUUAUUAUAAAGCUUUUCAGAUUAAAAUUCUGAAAGGGUGUGAAAUAAAGAGGACUUCCUAUGUGAGGCUGCUGAUAGGAAAUGUGAGUUUAGCCAACCACAGUGCAACAUGACGUGCAGAACUCGCUCACACACUGUAUUAACAGCUGCAAGCAGCAGAUACCAGAGGGAUGUCAUUUUGAAUUCAGCAGAUGAAUGAAUUACAAUGGGUUUCAAUCAGUCUGAGGGUACUUCUCAUAGACUCAAUCUAACCAACUUUUCAUUAUUGGCCGUGUUGUCCAUCUUUUGUAGUUUUGUUUUUUUCCUGGUAUUCAGUAUCUGCUUGUUUUUUUUUUAUAUUCGGCAGAACAAAAAGCAAAAAUCACAACCGAACGGAGAGGAGGUAAAAUAUUUUCCUAUUUUACUACAUUAUCGCUCUAGCAAAUAAAAAGAACAGCAGUGCGUUGACAAAGAGAAAGACAUGCAGAUAGCUUGAUUAUUGAUUAUUCAUUGGUUAUGUUUUGAAAGGUCACAGAUGUGGAUGUUUCUUUAAAUGAGGUAUGAAUUUAGCAGAUUCACACUUCUCAGUUUUGCUGUCAAACCUCAAGCCUCUGUGUUUAUGCCAAAGGUCAUUCUAGCUCUGUCUUUAUUUUUAGGUCUCUGAAAAGAUGAAGAAAAGAGAAAAAAAUAAAAGUUACAAAGAGCGGGUAAACUCAGUGUACUAUGAGUGGUUUACAGAUCACCGACCACAGAGGAAACCAUCCACAUCAGAUUGUACAGUAUUGUACAGGAUUGUACUAGUCUAAAACAAGUAACUUUAAUCUUGUUUCAGUAAUAAGAAAUGUCUUAAUAACGCAUUAUAGUGAGUUCUCAGUGCAAAAACACCGUUUGUUUUCAUUGGUCACGAUAAGAGGGCCAUAAGAGGGCGCUGUUGCACCACAUCACCUAAAAAGGUGAGCUUCAUAAAUAACGAAUAUUAAAGGAAUAGUUACAAGUUAAAAAA